CAUUUUCGCAUGAUUAAAGGUUUACCGGUGUAAGAAUGGGGAUGCGUUCCAUUAGAUAGUAAGCGGGGUAACGGGCCACCUAGUCUUCGAUGGAUAGGGGUUCUGAGAGGAAGGUCCCCCACAUUGGAACUGAGACACGGUCCAAACUCCUACGGGAGGCAGCAGUGAGGAAUAUUGGUCAAUGGACGAGAGUCUGAACCAGCCAAGUAGCGUGAAGGAUGAAGGUUCUAUGGAUUGUAAACUUCUUUUAUACGGGAAUAAACGGAUCCACGUGUGGAUUUUUGCAUGUACCGUAUGAAUAAGGAUCGGCUAACUCCGUGCCAGCAGCCGCGGUAAUACGGAGGAUCCGAGCGUUAUCCGGAUUUAUUGGGUUUAAAGGGAGCGUAGAUGGGUUGUUAAGUCAGUUGUGAAAGUUUGCGGCUCAACCGUAAAAUUGCAAUUGAUACUGGCAGUCUUGAGUACAGUUGAGGUAGGCGGAAUUCGUGGUGUAGCGGUGAAAUGCUUAGAUAUCACGAAGAACUCCGAUUGCGAAGGCAGCUUACUAACCUGUAACUGACAUUGAUGCUCGAAA
RNAcentral lists this ribosomal RNA (571 nucleotides) under uncultured Bacteroidales bacterium. RNAcentral describes it as "bacterial SSU rRNA". It matches the Rfam family "Bacterial small subunit ribosomal RNA", at positions 188 to 758 of the family's 1533-position model. The record is from RNAcentral. Lineage: Bacteria; Pseudomonadati; Bacteroidota; Bacteroidia; Bacteroidales.